GAUGAACGCUGGCGGCGUGCCUAAUACAUGCAAGUCGAGCGAACAGACGAGGAGCUUGCUCCUCUGACGUUAGCGGCGGACGGGUGAGUAACACGUGGAUAACCUACCUAUAAGACUGGGAUAACUUCGGGAGACCGGAGCUAAUACCGGAUAAUAUAUUGAACCGCAUGGUUCAAUAGUGAAAGACGGUUUUGCUGUCACUUAUAGAUGGAUCCGCGCCGCAUUAGCUAGUUGGUAAGGUAACGGCUUACCAAGGCAACGAUGCGUAGCCGACCUGAGAGGGUGAUCGGCCACACUGGAACUGAGACACGGUCCAGACUCCUACGGGAGGCAGCAGUAGGGAAUCUUCCGCAAUGGGCGAAAGCCUGACGGAGCAACGCCGCGUGAGUGAUGAAGGGCUUCGGAUCGUAAAACUCUGUUAUUAGGGAAGAACAAAUGUGUAAGUAACUAUGCACGUCUUGACGGUACCGAAUCAGAAAGCCACGGCUAACUACGU
Molecule: ribosomal RNA, 496 nt
Filed under: uncultured bacterium
Lineage: Bacteria
Description: partial 16S ribosomal RNA
Rfam family: Bacterial small subunit ribosomal RNA
Source: RNAcentral